UGGGGCGUGGUGAAGUGGCUUAACACACCGGUUUUUGGUACCGGCAUUCCCAGGUUCGAAUCCUGGCGCCCCAGCCA
Molecule: transfer RNA, 77 nt
Filed under: Hyphomonas atlantica
Lineage: Bacteria; Pseudomonadati; Pseudomonadota; Alphaproteobacteria; Hyphomonadales; Hyphomonadaceae
Also listed under: 6 other names
Description: corrig. tRNA-Gln
Rfam family: tRNA
About the family: Transfer RNA (tRNA) molecules are approximately 80 nucleotides in length. Their secondary structure includes four short double-helical elements and three loops (D, anti-codon, and T loops). Further hydrogen bonds mediate the characteristic L-shaped molecular structure. tRNAs have two regions of fundamental functional importance: the anti-codon, which is responsible for specific mRNA codon recognition, and the 3' end, to which the tRNAs corresponding amino acid is attached (by aminoacyl-tRNA synthetases). tRNAs cope with the degeneracy of the genetic code in two manners: having more than one tRNA (with a specific anti-codon) for a particular amino acid; and 'wobble' base-pairing, i.e. permitting non-standard base-pairing at the 3rd anti-codon position.
Source: RNAcentral